RNAcentral lists this ribosomal RNA (253 nucleotides) under uncultured bacterium. RNAcentral describes it as "partial 16S ribosomal RNA". It matches the Rfam family "Bacterial small subunit ribosomal RNA", at positions 524 to 776 of the family's 1533-position model. The record is from RNAcentral.
UACGGAGGGGGCGAGCGUUAUUCGGAAUUAUUGGGCGGAAAGGGCGCGUAGGCGGCUGAACAAGUCAAAGGUGAAAUCCCUCGGCUCAACUGAGGAACUGCCUUUGAAACUGUUCGGCUUGAGGCCGGGAGGGGGUAGCGGAAUUCCCAGUGUAGCGGUGAAAUGCGUAGAUAUUGGGAGGAACACCAGUGGCGAAGGCGGCUACCUGGACCGGUUCUGACGCUGAGGCGCGAAAGCGUGGGUAGCAAACAGG